Non-coding RNA from Oreochromis aureus, 617 nucleotides. The record is from the annotation of a RefSeq genome assembly. NCBI's taxonomy places the organism in Eukaryota, Metazoa, Chordata, Actinopteri, Cichliformes, Cichlidae.
AAAUUCUUGGACAUAUUUUUAACCAUACCAAGACUCUGAUUAUAAAGUGCUGGAAAACAUGGAGUAUAGGGUUUCCUGGAGUUUGUUAUUCAUUGUUUGUUUCCAUGGAGUUUGGAGUGAGAUCAAACUGGAGCAGUCUACUUCUGAGGUGAAGAGACCUGGAGAGAGAGUGAAGAUGUCAUGCAUCAUAUCUGGCUAUACCCUGAGAGACUACUAUAUCAGCUGGAUACGACAGAGGCCGGGGAGAACUCUGGAGUGGAUUGGAAGGAUGGACACAGGCUCAAACUCUGCUCACUAUGCCAGUACUUUCCGAAGCCGUUUUAUCAUUACUGAAGAAAACUCCGGCAGCAGACAGUACCUUGAGAUCAGGAGUCUGACAGCAGAAGAUUCUGCCGUUUACUUCUGUGCCCGACAAAGCACAGUGACAGAAAACAGAGGAAGAGCUGUACAAAAACCCCAACUACUAAAGGGAUCUCACUGACUUAUGGUUUUUCUCUUCACCUGAAAAGUGACCUUGUUGUAUACAAGUCACAGAAAUUUUACUGUAAAACAGAUGAGAAAAUAUCUAUUACUCAUCAUUUCAAUAUUAUAUAAUGAUGCUAAAUUAACACUGUAAA